UGAGGAAUAUUGGUCAAUGGGCGAGAGCCUGAACCAGCCAAGUAGCGUGCAGGAUGACGGCCCUAUGGGUUGUAAACUGCUUUUAUAUGGGAAUAAAGUGAGGGACGUGUCCCUUAUUGCAUGUACCAUACGAAUAAGGACCGGCUAAUUCCGUGCCAGCAGCCGCGGUAAUACGGAAGGUCCAGGCGUUAUCCGGAUUUAUUGGGUUUAAAGGGAGCGUAGGCUGUUUGUUAAGCGUGUUGUGAAAUGUAAGAGCUCAACUUUUAGAUUGCAGCGCGAACUGGCAGACUUGAGUGCGCACAACGUAGGCGGAAUUCAUGAUGUAGCGGUGAAAUGCUUAGAUAUCAUGACGAACUCCGAUUGCGAAGGCAGCUUACGGGAGCGCAACUGACGCUAAAGCUCGAAGGUGCGGGUAUCGAACAGG
This 424-nucleotide ribosomal RNA is filed under the name Verrucomicrobiota bacterium. Its description in RNAcentral is "Verrucomicrobia bacterium partial 16S ribosomal RNA". It matches the Rfam family "Bacterial small subunit ribosomal RNA", at positions 355 to 776 of the family's 1533-position model. Lineage: Bacteria; Pseudomonadati; Verrucomicrobiota. The record is from RNAcentral.